GGACUCCAGCACAAGGCAGAUCCUUCUCUCAGCCCUUGCCAGAACGGUGGUGCAGUGAUGUAUUACCUGCCAACAGCACAAUGUGAGGCAGGGUCCAGCCGUUCUGCCCAGCAUACAACUUGAGGGAGCAGCCCCUUUUGAAGACCUCCAGGUGGACUUCACAGGAAUGCCAAAGUGUGGAGUGAUCAUGUGUGGAUCAAGGACUGGAAUGUAGCCCACCCACAACUACGGUGGGAAGGACCCCAGACCAUCAUUUUGACGACUCUCACAGCAUGAAAAUAGAAGGAUUCCCAGCCUGGAUCAAUCACAGUCAUGUAUCAUCUACAUUGUCUGAGACCUGAGAGGUGAGACUGAGCCUGGUGGACCCCUGCAAAGUGACAUUGAGAAAGAUGGCAAGCCCUGCUACAGUCACAACCAGAAGCUUACUGUUGUAUGCAUGGCAAAAGAAUGAGGAUACUCAUCAUGGGAUUUAUUCUCCUUAAAAUUUGUACUUCUAUAAUAAAGACUGAUUUUU
RNAcentral lists this long non-coding RNA (514 nucleotides) under Homo sapiens (human). RNAcentral's name for it is "HSALNT0409267". Lineage: Eukaryota; Metazoa; Chordata; Mammalia; Primates; Hominidae. The record is from RNAcentral.